This 362-nucleotide ribosomal RNA is filed under the name Bacillus sp. MBGLi97. RNAcentral's name for it is "bacterial SSU rRNA". It matches the Rfam family "Bacterial small subunit ribosomal RNA", at positions 1 to 352 of the family's 1533-position model. The record is from RNAcentral. Lineage: Bacteria; Bacillati; Bacillota; Bacilli; Caryophanales; Bacillaceae.
UUUAUCGGAGAGUUUGAUCCUGGCUCAGGACGAACGCUGGCGGCGUGCCUAAUACAUGCAAGUCGAGCGGACAGAUGGGAGCUUGCUCCCUGAUGUUAGCGGCGGACGGGUGAGUAACACGUGGGUAACCUGCCUGUAAGACUGGGAUAACUCCGGGAAACCGGGGCUAAUACCAGAUGCUUGUUUGAACCGCAUGGUUCAAACAUAAAAGGUGGCUUCGGCUACCACUUACAGAUGGACCCGCGGCGCAUUAGCUAGUUGGUGAGGUAAUGGCUCACCAAGGCGACGAUGCGUAGCCGACCUGAGAGGGUGAUCGGCCACACUGGGACUGAGACACGGCCCAGACUCCUACGGGAGGCAGC